Long non-coding RNA from Takifugu rubripes (torafugu), 2189 nucleotides. The record is from Ensembl. Lineage: Eukaryota; Metazoa; Chordata; Actinopteri; Tetraodontiformes; Tetraodontidae.
UCGCUUUAAUUAUAUAGUCUAGAAAAGAAGUCAUUUAUGAUAAUAUUUAAGCCCCCAUCCUGACCUGUUCAAAACUUUUCAAAGUCAUUUCAAUUUUAAAACAAAUAAUUACCAAAGCAGAGAAUUUAUUAUCCUCACGUUAAAUAUUUCAUGUAAAUCAACAACCAACAAAACACUUUAGUUCCAGUUAAUCACGAUUCCUGGAUCCUAAAAUCUUGGAUUCAAAUCACCCAUUUUAGCAAAAACCAACCAACCGAUAGACCGAAACCAUGUGCUGUCUUUGGUGUCCUGUGUUGUCCUCUGUCCUACAGGGACUCAGCAGCUUCUGGACCACAUGGAAAAUUCUACCCAAAGUUGUCAGCUUUGAAAAUCCCUGUGAAGGUGAUGAAGAGUGAAGAGGAGAACCGGAAUGUCACUUUAGUUGCACGCUUCCUCCUGAGCAGGAAACUGUGGUUGACCUCACCUGGUCCUCCCCCCUUCGGGCUCGAUCGCGCCUCUAUGGAGCAGGAAGUGGAUUUCGGAGUCUGUUUGCAGAAAAACAAUAGAGCGAAACCGACGUCCGCAGCUGUUGAGCCGCCGUUGGGCCGCAGGAAAGGUAGAGACGCCGCUCCGAAGGUUCUGUUGGAGCCCGUUUAGAGGGAGGAAACAGCCCAGUAGAGCAGAGGCGAGUAUCCAAGCCCCCUUUAAAAAUGGAGCAGGCUGGAAAGGAGGUCACCAUCUGUGGAGCUGUAAGGCCAAGUCAGACACGCCAUCUAUUAAUCAAAGCCACAUUUACUGCCAUCCCUGUCACAGCCUGCCAAGUGUAUGGCAGAACAUAAUUCUUGUACCCCCUUUCUCCCGAGGGGGAUUUAAAGACACCCCUGAAAUCGGCUCUAAAAUGAGAAUUCCGAGCAGAAAGCAGCAGCGAGCCAGCCCUGGCAGGAGGCCAGCGUCCCCCGGGGUGGAGAAGAAAAGGUUCGCUUCCUGUUGGCGCGUCGCAACAGCUGUUCUGCUUGACCUUCGAGCCGCGAUCAAAGAGGCCCUCUUUGUGUGGCGCUAAUAUCAAGUGAUGAACAUUCAGCUCCCCGCGCUGCCCUUUAUUUUUCCUGCCAACCUGACAGCAGGACCUCAGCCGUCCCUCGUCGAUGGUCACAGACGCCCGUUUAGGUGAUUAUGAGAUGGCGAGUUGUUGGUGGGCUGUGGAGCCAUUUGGUGCACAUUCUUUUUUUCUUUAAAUAAAGCCAGAAUAUGACCGGUGAAGCGAGACGCGCGCCAGUGAAACGGCGUCAUGGUGGGAAAGGUCACGCUGGUAUUGUCCGCGCACGAGGACGGGCGUGGCCGUCAUCUGUGACGGACAGGUGCUGUGUGACGCAUGCCGACAUCGCAGGCGAAGCAUUUUUAGCUCAGUCGAUACCUGCAGAGGCCGCCGGAUGGAUUGCGAUCAAUGAGGCGGGCAUAAUUCACACCGAGCGUUCAUUUCCACGUGCUUAACUGCACAUACACACACACACACACACACUGAAGGAUUGGGCUGUGUACAUUCAUAGCCAUUAAAAUUUGGCCACCGCGCUAUUAUGCUCUCCAGACGAUCAAUAGCGUUUUCCAAUCAAUCACGUUGGAGGAAAACAAAUGCAGCUGUGUCUCAUUCUCCUUUUUACGCAUUUGCAGCUGCCUCUAAUUGUUCCGCCGGGACAUGAUUGGCCCCCGUAGCGUGUUCUAAAGUGAUACCAUCGAGGGUCAAGUGCUUCAAACCACGGCAGCGCACACGCCGCCCGACACUCUGCACCGUUUAGCUGACGUGCAAACGCUUCAAGCCCAUUUCAAUUAUUUACCGAAUGCUUGGCACAAAAUAGUCAGCAGUUUUGAACCAACACACAUGGUUGGACAUGUUGCCAAUCAGGCAACAAAGAUCUCAGUGGCCAAAAAGCCACAUGAAACUUCUAUAUCUUCAUUGAGGGAACCAACUUAAAGACGUUUCACGUGGAGCGGAAAAUUUGACAAAGCGCUUGGAGAUAACAAGCUCCCUGUUCCGCACUGCUGCGCAGGAUGCGACUCCCAGCGCUGGUAAAAGAAUUUAGGACUGCAGAUUUCAUAACGUAUGUUUUACAAGGUCAAUGCCUUUGAGGAUGUUUUCAUGCAGCAUAUUUAAUCCGCAAGUGUUUGAAGCUGGUGUGUCAUUAUUAAAAUAUGAAAGAAGGUUUCAGCCCCAG